CUAAUUUAAGCACAGGCUUUUUCCUCCCUUUAUUUUAAACUUUUGCCAUUGCUGUAGAUCAUUCUGUGAUGUGGCCACAGAGGACACAUUUAUUAUCAGAAGCAAUGGUGGGGGUGGGAAGUGUCUUUUCCUUUCUUUUUUUACAGCAAGUCUAAUAAAUUUGUCAUUUGAAUUAAUUUUAGCUGUCUUAUUGACUUGCGAGGUGCUUCAAGGCUGCUCAGUCACAGAAGUAUUUGAGACUCUGGAGCUGCUGAUAAAGUUCAGAAGAAAGGAUAUUAUUAGAAGAAAACUCCAGUCAUUCAGCUGUAAAAUGAAGUGAAAUGAAAUGAAAUGAAGAGAAGCAGUGAACAACAAUGGGUGCUUCCAAAUCCCCUUCCUUUCAUCUAAUGCCACACGAUUCUGUUGUGGUUCCUUGUGCCAAAUGUGGAUAAUCUAGAAGCAAGUAGGACAGUAACUAGUGGGCCCCUCCAAACUCUGCACUGCGAUGAUGAUGAUGAUGACCAGCUUGAAGGAAUUUCAAAUUAUAAACUAAGCAAAGUUCAGUCUUGUAGUCAGCAUAAUGUCCUGUGUAUUUUUUUAUAUAUUGUGUAAUCUGGUGCUGGUUUUGCUUAUCCUAAGCUGACUGGAUGGCUCAAUGAGUUGGAACACUUGGAGCUAGUGGCUCAGGAAUUAGAUCCCCCCCUCCCAUGCCUUCCAGGAGAAAAGCCAGCCUGUGUAGUUUAGGGCAAGCUACAUAGUUCUUACUCCAAGUUUUACCUCAAACCAUCACCAUUCUUACUCUCCUCCUGGUUUCUGAUAAUCUCUCAGACAUUGCUUAUAUCUUUAUAAUUUAUCUGUAUAACAGUGUUAAACUGUCUUUUAAUUUACAUGAAAAGGAAUUAUAUGCUUGGGAGGUUGGGUUCUGCUUCCCAGUGAUUCUUUCCUUAUAGUUGUAUAGACCUCUGUCCCCCAAGCUUCCUUUCCAUUGAAAGUGGCCCAAGAUAAAGGGGAAAAAAUGUUAUUACACAUAACAAGUAAAAUUAAUUUGAAUAUGUCAUAAACUUUAAAAAGUCACUACUAAAAAUUUCAUGGUCUAAAUCUAACUGAUAGCCCCAACUGGUACAUUCUGAUCAACUGAGUCAGCUGUUGAAUGGGGAAUCUAUCACAUGCUUCAUGGCUUAAUCAAGAAGCCAUGUUUAACAUGAACAAUAGCUUACUGUGACAUAUACAUGCAUAAACUUUAUUGUUUCUGACCAUAGGCCUUUACAAUGUACAUAUAGUAUAUAAAAUCCAAUUAAAACAGGCAAUUGCCAUAAAACCAAUAAAACUCGGUC
Molecule: long non-coding RNA, 1313 nt
Filed under: Pogona vitticeps (central bearded dragon)
Lineage: Eukaryota; Metazoa; Chordata; Lepidosauria; Squamata; Agamidae
Description: lncRNA (ENSPVIG00000010355.1)
Source: RNAcentral